RNAcentral lists this ribosomal RNA (498 nucleotides) under uncultured bacterium. RNAcentral describes it as "bacterial SSU rRNA". It matches the Rfam family "Bacterial small subunit ribosomal RNA", at positions 30 to 523 of the family's 1533-position model. The record is from RNAcentral.
AUUGAACGCUGGCGGCAGGCCUAACACAUGCAAGUCGAGCGAGAAAGGUCUUCGGACUGAGUACAGCGGCGGACGGGUGAGUAAUGCGCAGGAAUCUACCUGGUAGUGGGGGAUAACUCGGGGAAACUCGAACUAAUACCGCAUACGCCCUACGGGGGAAAGCGGGGGACCGUUCGGGCCUCGCGCUAUCAGAUGAGCCUGCGUAGGAUUAGCUUGUUGGUGAGGUAAAGGCUCACCAAGGCGACGAUCCUUAGCUGGUCUGAGAGGAUGAUCAGCCACACUGGAACUGAGACACGGUCCAGACUCCUACGGGAGGCAGCAGUGGGGAAUAUUGCGCAAUGGGCGAAAGCCUGACGCAGCCAUGCCGCGUGUGUGAAGAAGGCCCUUGGGUUGUAAAGCACUUUCAAUUGGGAAGAAAGGUUGCGUGUUAAUAGCACGUAGCUGUGACGUUACCUUUAGAAGAAGCACCGGCUAACUCCGUGCCAGCAGCCGCGGUAA